This 461-nucleotide ribosomal RNA is filed under the name uncultured bacterium. RNAcentral's name for it is "partial 16S ribosomal RNA". It matches the Rfam family "Bacterial small subunit ribosomal RNA", at positions 339 to 795 of the family's 1533-position model. The record is from RNAcentral.
CUACGGGGCGCUGCAGUCGAGAAUCUUCCGCAAUGGACGAAAGUCUGACGGAGCGACGCCGCGCGCGGGAUGAAGGCCUUCGGGUUGUAAACCGCUGUCAGUGGGGAGGAAAUGCAUCAGGGUUCUCCCUGGUGUUUGACCGAUCCGCAGAGGAAGCGCAGGCUAAGUUCGUGCCAGCAGCCGCGGUAACACGAACUGCGCGAACGUUAUUCGGAAUCACUGGGCUUAAAGAGUUCGUGGGCGGCCUUUCAAGUCGGGUGUGAAAUCCCUCGGCUCAACCGAGGAAUUGCGCCUGAUACUGUUGGGCUUGAGGGGGAUAGGGGUGAGCGGAACUGAUGGUGGAGCGGUGAAAUGCGUUGAUAUCAUCAGGAACACCGGUGGCGAAGGCGGCUCACUGGAUCUCUUCUGACGCUGAGGAACGAAAGCUAGGGGAGCGAACGGGAUUAGAUACCCGCGUAGUC